Molecule: ribosomal RNA, 979 nt
Filed under: uncultured bacterium
Lineage: Bacteria
Description: bacterial SSU rRNA
Rfam family: Bacterial small subunit ribosomal RNA
Source: RNAcentral
UGCAAGUCGAGGGGCAGCAUAAAACAAGCUUGCUUGUUUGGUGGCGACCGGCGCACGGGUGCGUAACGCGUAUGCAACCUACCCUGUACUGAGGGAUAGCCCGGAGAAAUUCGGAUUAACACCUCAUAGUAUAUAUCAUUCGCAUGUUUGAUAUAUUAAAGGUUACGGUACAGGAUGGGCAUGCGCCCUAUUAGCUAGAUGGUAAGGUAACGGCUUACCAUGGCGACAAUAGGCAGGGGGCCUGAGAGGGUGGUCCCCCACACUGGUACUGAGACACGGACCAGACUCCUACGGGAGGCAGCAGUGAGGAAUAUCGGUCAAUGGGCGCAAGCCUGAACCAGCCAUGCCGCGUGCAGGAAGAAGGUCCUAUGGAUUGUAGACUGCUUUUAUUUGGGAAUAAACCUCUUUACGUGUAGAGAGCUGAAGGUACCAAAUGAAUAAGCACCGGCUAACUCCGUGCCAGCAGCCGCGGUAAUACGAAGGGUGCAAGCGUUAUCCGGAAUCAUUGGGUUUAAAGGGUCCGCAGGCGGACUUAUAAGUCAGUGGUGAAAGCCCAUCGCUUAACGAUGGAACUGCCAUUGAUACUGUAAGUCUUGAAUUCGGUCGAAGUGGGCGGAAUGUGACAUGUAGCGGUGAAAUGUUUAGAUAUGUCACAGAACACCGAUAGCGAAGGCAGCUCACUAGGCCUGGAUUGACGCUCAUGGACGAAAGCGUGGGGAGCAAACAGGAUUAGAUACCCUGGUAGUCCACGCCGUAAACUAUCAAUACUCGUUUUCAGCGGUAUACAGUUGGAGACUAAGCGAAAGUGACAAGUAUUGCACCUGGGGAGUACGGUCGCAAGGUUGAAACUCAAAGGAAUUGACGGGGGCCCGCACAAGCGGUGGANCAUGUGGUUUAAUUCGAUGAUACGCGAGGAACCUUACCGGGGCUUAAAUGUANANGGAAUGAUGUGGAAACAUGUCAGCCUUCGGGCCGUCUA